Molecule: long non-coding RNA, 362 nt
Organism: Homo sapiens (human)
Lineage: Eukaryota; Metazoa; Chordata; Mammalia; Primates; Hominidae
Exons: 4
Source: RefSeq, a predicted model, not a curated record
AGGGAGACUAGCACAGGCCGGCAGAGAAGUGACCCAGCCCCGGAUUGCCUGGUAACCUUCCGUUCCCAGGAGGCUGCUGUGAGGCUCCUCUGGCUUCAUGGAGUAUAAUGGACCCACAGCCAUCUCCUUCCCCAACACCAACUCUGCCUGCAUUUUAGGCCAGGAAGUGAGAGUUCAGAGAGCAGAGACAACUGUCCAGAGCUAGACCUUGAAGACUCCUCAACGCUGAAGGUCACCGAGAGGAGGGACAGCCAAGGAAACUGAGUCGCAGCAGCCGUGGAGGCAGGCGGGCACUAGGAUCAAGUCAUCAAAGGUCCCAGGAGGCUGCCAGGCUGGCUGGACAGCCGAGGAGACAAGAGCUG